Molecule: long non-coding RNA, 2261 nt
Organism: Alligator mississippiensis (American alligator)
Lineage: Eukaryota; Metazoa; Chordata; Crocodylia; Alligatoridae
Exons: 5
Source: RefSeq, a predicted model, not a curated record
CAGCAACCUGGAAAACACCAGCAUAAGUCUACUGUGAGCAGUCUGGUUCUCUUCACCUUUAGGUCAAAAACAUUUGAUACAAAUGCAGACUUUGUUUUAAAAAAUGCACAAUAUGGUGGAAGAAAAAGAUUGCACCAAAGCAUUCUAAUAUUUUUAUGCCCCCAAAUAAUGAAGUUAACCUCAUGCAAUGUAUUAGCAUUUCCAAUGAUUAAGAAUAUGUUUGUGCAUGCAACUACUCUACAUGGUUUCUUAACCUACCUAAUCUGGAUGUGCAGCCAUUGGAGCUACAGUGCAGUAAAAGGUUGUGGGCUGAAUUCUUCCUCAAGGAAGCCAAUAGAAGAGAUGCAAGUGAACCUUUCUUGUAUUGUGCAGCUGUAGCGGAGCAGAACUCUAUAAUAAGGUUGUGGUAUUGACCAGGAGAGAGGUGUUGCCAUUGCACUGACACAUCACCUCCUUCAGCUGCCUCCUGAUGGCAGAACAUCAGUGAAGCUCUGAUGGGAAUUAAAUCUGCUCCCUCCUACAGAACCUGUGAAGAACCUGAGUGGGGGCAGCAAUGGAGAUUAACCUCCUUUGCAGUAAAAUCACCUCCCAUCCCAGACACCCCACAUGGUACAGGAAUACUUCCCUAUGCCAAUAUUAAUGAAAAUGACCUUUUAAAGGUCACAACUUGUCUCUGGGGGAAAGGGUAUUUAUUUUUGUCCUUGACUCAUUAUUGUAACAGAUGUACAGAUGUUUCUUCUUUGGACUUUAUUUUCCAGAUUGCCAAGGGAGAAUGUGGAAUCUCCAUCACUGGAAGUUUUUAAGAGCAGGUGAAACUAAAAUUUGGAUGUGAUGGUUUAGACUGGAAUGAUCCUGCCUUGAGUUGAGGGGGAGUUCAACUAGAUGACUUCCUGAGGCACCCUCUAUUCCUGCUCCCUGUGAUCAGGCAGGGGGCAGAUAGGAGGUGAGGCCACUGCUCUUCCCACAAUCAAACACUAACCAACAUGGAGGAAGUGGGAUGUUGAGAACAUAGCCUCUCUGUACUCCAGUGCCUUUUCAAAGACGCAUAAUGUAUCCUGGUGAUCCCAGAGGGUGAGAAAGCUGUGUCUGCAAUCCCAGGGCCAUGCCCAAAUUGGCAUGAUCAGCUGCUGAGUAUGAAGUGAGAAGGUGUUCUGUUUCAGAGAUGGAACACAGAAACAAGGAACUUCAUUUCUGCACUCAGUUCAGUAACACUCAGUUAACCGAGUGGAAGAAAGGACAGAGAUAUCCUAAGAGCUGUAAGUAUUUUGCCGCAUUUUUACCUGAACCUAAGUGACUAAAGAACCCAUUCUCUCUUCUCCAUGUGUAACUCAUACACAGUAGCAGAGAUGUCAUAAAUUGAAACUUUAGAUGCUUCCGUUGCCAUUUUGGCCAAGUUCUCUUUGACAGAAGCAGGUAGGGACAAAGGUGGCUUUAAGCCCAUACCCCUAUGAUUAGUCUCUGAAGUAAAAAUAGAUACGUAAGUUUGCUGUAACACUCACUUGGCUGUUUUGUUUCCAGAAAACCAUGGCAUAAGUUGAAAAUAGCUGAGCUUUUAUUAUUAUUAAUCAUGUUUAUUAUGAUAAUGCCUAUCCAAGAAUGGUGCAGGCACUGUACAAACAGAGUACCAGACAGUCACAGCCAUUAUAAAAGAUGUAGUCUGAAUAGACCAGGUAGAUAAAGAGGGGUGGAACAGAGCAGGACAUACGAGCAGUGUGAAGAGAAAAUGGGUAUGUUAUUACCACAGUUGGGGAGGGAGAGGGGAAUGGCUUUGGGGUUUUUUUUAAGGUGGGUUCAGUGAGGAGGGGAUAAACUAAAAAGAAAAGUAAAGGGAGAGGGAACAGUAAAGGGAAAGGAUGAGAAGGACAGGGCAGGGGAGAAGCUCUGGCCCCAAGGCUGUGCCUCCAAUACACCUCCCUAUCAGGACAUUGCAAAGGAAGGUUGCAAUGUUGCCAUCCAGGAACCCCUAUACACAAACAGUUCAUCAAGUACCUGUGCUUCUGGGUUUACAGCCUCACUGCACCCCCAUAAAGGUGUAAAGAGCCAUAGGACAAAAGCAAAUCAGACCUAAAAUGAUUCCCAAGAAUUCUUCUGCCACCGUGAUAGUUCUUGACUCGGAUGUCUGGCCCCACCAGCUCCCACUGGAGAAUAUGCUUCCUGCAGGACCCUGCUUCCAGGACACAGCCUUGUAGGUGACUUGGGGAUCCUGAGGAGCUUGACAGGGCAGCAGUGCUUCUUCACCACAUGUCAUCACAAUCUCUGAA